ACAAGUAAGAGUGAAUGAGUCUCGAAUACGUAAGGAUACGUACGCUUGGAACGGUUCCGUCCUCUUCUUUCUUUUCUCAACUUUCUUUGCUGCGGGAUUAUUUCUCCCUCCGUUUCUUUAUUUUUUUCAACACACUUUUUCUCUUAUAUCAUAUUUUGAUAUAUCUAUUUCACAACACUAAACGAAGAAAUCGGAUUGAUCGACGCUGCUGCUCCCCGUCAUUAUCGUUCAAAAACGCGUUCAUGUGAAAAAAAUAAAGAAACAAAAAAAGAAAAGAAAAGAACAGAAAUAAAAACAAUAAGUAAGAUCAGAAAUAAGUGUGGAGGAUAAAAUUGAAGGAAGCCAAGGAGGAGAAGAAGAAAAGCAAGAGGAUUUAAAACAUAAGAGACGUUGGAAACUAUCGAAUAGGCCGCAACGUUCUUCCCUGGUUUUCAUGGUACAAGGACUUUGGUAUCCGAUUAAGGCGUCCGGAUUACAGUUGGGUUUGCGGAAUAACAGGAGGGUGGUAGGUGACGACGACGAGGAUCGAGACGAUGGUCUCGAGAGAAAAGAAGGAAGAGGAAGGCCGGCUCUGCUUGAUAAAUUGAUACUGGACAAUGAGUAAAGAUUGAAUGAAGACGGCUGCGGUGUUGGCGACGGCGAUGAACCGAGUAAGCUUGGAAAUCGCAAAGUAAUGGCGAAAAGAAGGGAACGAGUUUCAUUCAUUUCGGUGGACGGAGGGAGAUAUUGGCAAACUAAAAACGUUAAUUUAUUCAAUGCUAAGAGAGGACUCGCGCAUUCUACCCCCUACCUAGAAGGACAGCCUAGGACCAAGUAGAAGACGAAAAGAAAAAAAGAAAGAACGAAAGAAAGAAAGAAAGAAUGAAUGAGGAUCGGA
Polistes dominula (European paper wasp) is the source of this 877-nucleotide long non-coding RNA. The record is from RefSeq and is a predicted model, not a curated record. NCBI's taxonomy places the organism in Eukaryota, Metazoa, Arthropoda, Insecta, Hymenoptera, Vespidae.